UUUGGAAAAGGCAUGCACUAGUAAAUUAAGCAUUGUAUAUACUUUGUGUAGUGUUGUUCCCUGUGACCUUCUCUAAGAAGAGGAAGAUGGCAUUUGGCUCCCACUUGGCAUUGUCUCAGUUUGCAUGAGAGAGGUAAGAACAUCACUAUGGUCUUUCUCUCAUUGAUUAAGUUUCCCCAUGUUGAUAUGGAUCAUAUCAUAUUGACAACAAAACAAAAUUAAUGACAUCACAAUAUUUAAUAACUAGCGUUACAUUUUUCUAAAGAAACCUACUGCAUAUUUUUGUGGCUGAGAAGAUCCAUUAACAGUGCCGCCCAAGAGGAUAAGAGUAGGGUGAGAAUUGAAGUCCCGAAUCCCCUAAAAUUUAAUGUAUUAUUUAUUGUCCUUUGGAGUUCUGAGUACUUUUU
RNAcentral lists this long non-coding RNA (407 nucleotides) under Brassica napus (rape). RNAcentral describes it as "long non-coding RNA (BNAP_LNC004009)". The record is from RNAcentral. Lineage: Eukaryota; Viridiplantae; Streptophyta; Magnoliopsida; Brassicales; Brassicaceae.